AGAAAAUGGAGGAAAUGAGAAGAGGGAGAUUCUUGUACAGUUUUUGGAAUGUUUGAAACAUGGUGUGAUUAUUACUUUGAAAAUGUAAUCUUUGAAAUUUCAUCGUGAUGGGAAUAGAUCAUUGCAAUUGUUGGUCUUCAACGAGGAAUUCUUAAUAAGCGCGAGCCAUCAACUCGCGUUGACUACGUCUCUGUCCUUUGUACA
Ribosomal RNA from Arabis alpina (gray rockcress), 204 nucleotides. It matches the Rfam family "Eukaryotic small subunit ribosomal RNA", at positions 1148 to 1666 of the family's 1831-position model. Lineage: Eukaryota; Viridiplantae; Streptophyta; Magnoliopsida; Brassicales; Brassicaceae. The record is from Rfam.